GUUUGUUUUGAAAACGCCACAAAAUGCCACAAUUUUACCAAAAAAAGGCCAUUAUAGCUUAAUUUUGCUUACUCGCUCACUUCCAAAAAAAUCCCGCUCACUCCCAAACUCCUCCUUCUUCUCAUCUAUGUCACUCGCCCUAAAUCCCCCAAAUAAAAUUUAGCUACUCUUUUUCUCUCGUUACUGUUUUUCUCUCGAUCCUUCGUUUCUUUUCACUGUUUAGAUAUAUCCGCCUCUCUCAUCUUCCGUUUUUAUACGGUUGGUUGUUGUUGAAGAAGUGCUACUACCAUGGCUACAAAGAAGAGUGUUGGGGACUUGAAGGAAGCUGAUUUGAAGGGAAAGAAAGUGUUUGUUAGAGUCGAUCUGAACGUUCCAUACAGAUGACACAAGGAUCCGUGCUGCUGUUCCCACCAUCAAGUAUUUGAUGGGUCAUGGCUCUAAAGUCAUCCUCUUUAGUCAUUUGGAUGAGCAACCAGAAGUACAAGGACCAGCAGUUUUGGUCUCAACUGAAAGAGUAUCAACUAUCAGUCCAAUUGGUAUUUCUCUGUGUGUGUAUGUAUGUGUUUUUUAUGAUUUAAGGGUUUUUUCUUCAUUGGAUUUAGUUGAAAUAUGGAAUAUAUGUUCAUUUUAGUACUUGGACUUGAGGUUUUAGAACUUUGAUUUGCAUGAAACAUGAAACUUUGACUUGCGGGUCUCUUUUUGUCUGUCUCUUACUUUGGAAAUUGCUCCAAAAUUUUACAUAUUAACUUGUUGAUUGUAAUGUGAUAAGAAGUAUAAAGGAAGGGUUUGUUAUCUUGGCUAUCAAAUUUCUCCAGUUCUUCAAUUCAAAUAUUGUCAGCCUUGCUUAUUGGCAUCUUCUUCAAUGUGUUUGAUAUUCUAGGUAGCAUUUAUGUGGUUGAUAAUCCUUAAUUCCCAUACAAGUUAUAAUGACUACUGAAGGGCAUCAACUCCUCAAUGAAUUAACGAUUUUUUAUUCUUGUUGGCCUUUCUUUUUAAUCUUCUCUUUGACAUGAUGUUUGAUAGCCUAGUUCAUUAUUCUUCUUACUGAUCUCUAGGAUUUCGCCUGGCAUUGAAGAAUUAGUCAAGAAGCUGAAGGCAAGGAAUACCGAUGUUUAUCUAAUUUCCGAGGGCUUCUGCCAAAUGAUUAAUGUGUGCAACUAUGCUACUAAAUGCUUGAAAGACCAUCUCUAUUUUACUUUGUUCUGUUAAGGCAUUCAUGUGGUUUCGUCUGCCCUUCUGAUAAAUGUAGAUCUGAAGUCACUUGCAAUAUUUUGAUGAUAUUGAAAAUAGAAACUUGAAUGUAGGAAACUGGAAAACACGAAAUGGAAAUCCUUACUUGACAUUAGAUAUUACACAUGCAGCAAAUGGUGACUUCUGAAAAACCAAUUAGAUAUAAAAUUAUGGAAGUGUGAUAUGGGUAAUGUUGUCAUCAGUAAGAGUCAUUGUACAUCAUGUAAGUUCGUUACUAUUGAGAGAGCCAUGUUAUUGUAUAUUAAUAUAAUCUUCCAAUGGUUAACCAUUGGCCAACUACUGCCAGAAAAUAGUUAAUUGAGAAGCAUUUUUGUAGCCUAUUGCAUCAAUCCUUGGAAUUUAGCAAGAAAACAGUUUUUGGGAUUCGAUGCUAAUGAGCUCACUUCGAGGAGUAGAGGAAAAGCUACUGCUGUUCAACAAAUAAGAAAGGUUAAGGGAUACAAGGCAUUAGACAUGAUUGGUGAUGGUGCUACUGAUCUUGAGCUGAAGAUGGUUCUUCAUCAGUAGCUGUGGAUUUGCAGCAACUUAAUUUGCAUAAUGUGAUUUGCCAAGCAAAAUCUGGAAUGGGGAAAACAGCUGUUUUUGUUCUAUCAACUCUUCAGCAAAUUGAACCUGAUGCUGGGCAAGCUGCUGCACUUGUUCUAUGUCACACUAGAUGCUGGGCAAGCUGCUGCACUUGUUCUAUGUCACACUAGAGAAUUAGCGUACCAGAGUUUCUGAGUAGUACAACUGCUGAGUCAUGUUUUGGUGCUGCAAUCAAGGUACAUAUUAUGCACAGCCUUUUCAAUGACUUCUGCAUUAACAGACUGGAGUAGUGUACAAAAAUCCUUUAGGCACUUUCAGACUAUUCAAAUCUAUAAUAUUUUUUCCCCUUUGUUUGUAGAUUCAUUGGCAUCUUGUCUUAAUGAGAGUGUAGUUUAUGAAGUUUAAACUUUGCAUUGUCCUCCAAGGUAUUAGAAUUCCUAGUUCAAAACUUAGCAAUUUGUCUUUUAUAAAAGACCUUUGCAUUUUCAGUGUUGUUUAGGUUCACAAACAAGAUGUUGUAUUUGGACUUGUUGUAUUUUAUUUAUAUUUAUAUUUAAUCUAAUUUUUAUUAUUUAUUUUA
This is an RNA transcript of Gossypium arboreum, 2356 nucleotides long. RefSeq lists it as uncharacterized. The record is from RefSeq and is a predicted model, not a curated record. Lineage: Eukaryota; Viridiplantae; Streptophyta; Magnoliopsida; Malvales; Malvaceae. The transcript is spliced from 7 exons.